RNAcentral lists this ribosomal RNA (114 nucleotides) under Salmonella enterica subsp. enterica serovar Infantis. Lineage: Bacteria; Pseudomonadati; Pseudomonadota; Gammaproteobacteria; Enterobacterales; Enterobacteriaceae. The record is from RNAcentral. RNAcentral also lists the same sequence under 27 other names.
CCUGGCGGCACUAGCGCGGUGGUCCCACCUGACCCCAUGCCGAACUCAGAAGUGAAACGCCGUAGCGCCGAUGGUAGUGUGGGGUCUCCCCAUGCGAGAGUAGGGAACUGCCAG